CCUACGGGUGGCUGCAGUGGGGAAUAUUGGACAAUGGGCGCAAGCCUGAUCCAGCCAUGCCGCGUGAGUGAUGAAGGCCUUAGGGUUGUAAAGCUCUUUCGGCGGGGACGAUAAUGACGGUACCCGCAGAAGAAGCCCCGGCUAACUUCGUGCCAGCAGCCGCGGUAAUACGAAGGGGGCUAGCGUUGUUCGGAAUCACUGGGCGUAAAGCGUAUGCAGGCGGAUCGUUAAGUCGGGGGUGAAAUCCCGAGGCUCAACCUCGGAACUGCCUUCGAUACUGGCGAUCUUGAGUCCGGGAGAGGUGAGUGGAACUGCGAGUGUAGAGGUGAAAUUCGUAGAUAUUCGCAAGAACACCAGUGGCGAAGGCGGCUCACUGGCCCGGUACUGACGCUGAGAUACGAAAGCGUGGGGAGCAAACAGGAUUAGAUACCCGAGUAGUC
Molecule: ribosomal RNA, 440 nt
Filed under: uncultured bacterium
Lineage: Bacteria
Description: partial 16S ribosomal RNA
Rfam family: Bacterial small subunit ribosomal RNA
Source: RNAcentral